GCAUAAUCAUUCGCCUUUUAAUUGGAGGCUUGUAUGAAUGGAUUAAUGAGGGACCAGUUGUCUCGCUUAUAAAGUAUAAAAUUUAAUGAUUAGGUGAAGAGGCCUGGAUAAAAUUAAAAGACAAGAAGACCCUAUCGAGUUUUAUUAUUUUUAAUUAUUUCAGGUGUAUGUAUAUAUCUUGAAGAUAUUUUUAGUAAUUUAGUUGGGGCGACUGGGGGACAAUAUUACCUCCCCUUUAAUAAAGAAAUUAAUUCGAUAAAAAGAUCCAUUAAAAUGAUCAAAAGACACACACUACCGUAGGGAUAACAGGCUAAUUUCUUUAGAGAGUUCAAAUUGACAAAGAAGAUUGGCACCUCGAUGUUGGCUUAGGAUAUCCUUUGUAUGCAGCCGUACAAAAAGGUUGGUUUGUUCAACCAUAAAAAUCCUACGUG
RNAcentral lists this ribosomal RNA (431 nucleotides) under Neogyptis carriebowcayi. RNAcentral describes it as "partial 16S ribosomal RNA". It matches the Rfam family "Bacterial large subunit ribosomal RNA", at positions 1959 to 2602 of the family's 2925-position model. The record is from RNAcentral. Lineage: Eukaryota; Metazoa; Annelida; Polychaeta; Phyllodocida; Hesionidae.